GUAGGCGGCAAGCGUUGUCCGGAAUUAUUGGGCGUAAAGCGCGCGCAGGUGGUUCUUUAAGUCUGAUGUGAAAGCCCCCGGGCUCACCCGGGGAGGGUCAUUGGAAACUGGGGAACUUGAGUGCAGGAGAGGAAAGUGGAAUUCCACGUGUAGCGGUGAAAUGCGUAGAUAUGUGGAGGAACACCAGUGGCGAAGGCGACUUUCUGGCCUGUAACUGACACUGAGGCGCGAAAGCGUGGGGAGCAAACAGGAUUAGAUACCCUGGUAGUCCACGCCGUAAACGAUGAGUGCUAAGUGUUGGGGGGUUUCCGCCCCUCAGUGCUGCAGCUAACGCAUUAAGCACUCCGCCUGGGGAGUACGGUCGCAAAGACUG
This 373-nucleotide ribosomal RNA is filed under the name uncultured organism. RNAcentral's name for it is "partial 16S ribosomal RNA". It matches the Rfam family "Bacterial small subunit ribosomal RNA", at positions 527 to 896 of the family's 1533-position model. The record is from RNAcentral.